AAAUCUUAUAGUUUAACAAAAUAUUAAAUUGCAAGUUUAAAGUUGAUUACCAUUCUAAGAUUUA
This 64-nucleotide transfer RNA is filed under the name Busonia albilateralis. Its description in RNAcentral is "tRNA-Cys". Lineage: Eukaryota; Metazoa; Arthropoda; Insecta; Hemiptera; Cicadellidae. The record is from RNAcentral.